Molecule: non-coding RNA, 69 nt
Organism: Rattus norvegicus (Norway rat)
Lineage: Eukaryota; Metazoa; Chordata; Mammalia; Rodentia; Muridae
Source: Rfam
GGGGAUUUAGCUCAGUGGUAGAGCGCUUGCCUAGGAAGCGUAAGGCCCUGGGUUCCGUCCCCAGCUCCG